Molecule: ribosomal RNA, 492 nt
Filed under: uncultured bacterium
Lineage: Bacteria
Description: bacterial SSU rRNA
Rfam family: Bacterial small subunit ribosomal RNA
Source: RNAcentral
AUUGAACGCUGGCGGCAGGCCUAACACAUGCAAGUCGAGCGGUAGAGAGAAGCUUGCUUCUCUUGAGAGCGGCGGACGGGUGAGUAAUACCUAGGAAUCUGCCUGAUAGUGGGGGAUAACGUUCGGAAACGGACGCUAAUACCGCAUACGUCCUACGGGAGAAAGCAGGGGACCUUCGGGCCUUGCGCUAUAAGAUGAGCCUAGGUCGGAUUAGCUAGUUGGUGAGGUAAUGGCUCACCAAGGCUACGAUCCGUAACUGGUCUGAGAGGAUGAUCAGUCACACUGGAACUGAGACACGGUCCAGACUCCUACGGGAGGCAGCAGGUGGGAAUAUUGGACAAGUGGGACGAAAGCCUGAUCCAGUCAUGCCGCGUGUGUGAAGAAGGUCUUCGGAUUGUAAAGCACUUUAAGUGGAGGAGGCAUUAACCUAAUACGUUAGUGUCUUGACGUUACCGACAGAAUAAGCACCGGCUAACUCUGUGCCAGCAGCCG